This 87-nucleotide transfer RNA is filed under the name Planctomycetota bacterium. RNAcentral's name for it is "Planctomycetes bacterium (sediment metagenome) tRNA-Leu". It matches the Rfam family "tRNA". From Rfam's summary of the family: Transfer RNA (tRNA) molecules are approximately 80 nucleotides in length. Their secondary structure includes four short double-helical elements and three loops (D, anti-codon, and T loops). Lineage: Bacteria; Pseudomonadati; Planctomycetota. The record is from RNAcentral.
GCGCGCGUGGCGGAAUUGGCAGACGCGCCAGCUUGAGGGGCUGGUGCCCGCAAGGGCGUGCUGGUUCAACUCCAGUCGCGCGCACCA